AUACGGAGGGUGCAAGCGUUAAUCGGAAUUACUGGGCGUAAAGCGUGCGUAGGUGGUUUGUUAAGUCAUAUGUGAGAGCCCCGGGCUCAACCUGGGAACUGCAUUUGAAACUGGCAUACUAGAGUAUAGGAGAGGAAAGUGGAAUUUCAGGUGUAGCGGUGAAAUGCGUAGAUAUCUGAAGGAACAUCAAUGGCGAAGGCAGCUUUCUGGACUAAUACUGACACUGAGGUACGAAAGCGUGGGUAGCAAACAGGAUUAGAAACCCUAGUAGUCC
Molecule: ribosomal RNA, 274 nt
Filed under: uncultured bacterium
Lineage: Bacteria
Description: partial 16S ribosomal RNA
Rfam family: Bacterial small subunit ribosomal RNA
Source: RNAcentral